GAUGAACGCUAGCGGCAGGCUUAAUACAUGCAAGUCGUGGGGCAGCGCAGGUAGCAAUACUAGGCGGCGACCGGCAAACGGGUGCGGAACACGUACACAACCUUCCGAGAAGUGGGGAAUAGCCCAGAGAAAUUUGGAUUAAUACCCCGUAACAUAACGAUGUGGCAUCACAUUGUUAUUAUAGCUUCGGCGCUUCUUGAUGGGUGUGCGGCUGAUUAGAUAGUUGGCGGGGUAACGGCCCACCAAGUCUACGAUCAGUAGCUGAUGUGAGAGCAUGAUCAGCCACACGGGCACUGAGACACGGACCCGACUCCUACGGGAGGCAGCAGUAAGGAAUAUUGGUCAAUGGACGCAAGUCUGAACCAGCCAUGCCGCGUGAAGGAUUAAGGUCCUCUGGAUUGUAAACUUCUUUUAUCUGGGACGAAAAAAGGCGAUUCUUCGUCACUUGACGGUACCAGAUGAAUAAGCACCGGCUAACUCCGUGCCAGCAGCCGCCGUAA
RNAcentral lists this ribosomal RNA (500 nucleotides) under uncultured bacterium. RNAcentral describes it as "partial 16S ribosomal RNA". It matches the Rfam family "Bacterial small subunit ribosomal RNA", at positions 28 to 523 of the family's 1533-position model. The record is from RNAcentral.